CUAUUGGAGAGUUUGAUCCUGGCUCAGGACGAACGCUGGCGGCGUGCCUAACACAUGCAAGUCGAACGGGGCCAGGGGCAACUCUGGUUCAGUGGCGGACGGGUGCGUAACACGUGAGGAACAUGACCUUCGGCGGGGGAUAGCCGGCCCAACGGCCGGGUAAUACCGCGUACGACCUUUCGGGGACAUCCCCGGCUGGUGAAAGCAGCAAUGCGCCGAAGGAGUGCCUCGCGGCCUAUCAGCUAGUUGGUGAGGUAACGGCUCACCAAGGCGACGACGGGUAGCUGGUCUGAGAGGAUGGCCAGCCACAUUGGGACUGAGACACGGCCCAGACUCCUACGGGAGGC
Molecule: ribosomal RNA, 347 nt
Filed under: Gemmatimonadota bacterium
Lineage: Bacteria; Pseudomonadati; Gemmatimonadota
Description: bacterial SSU rRNA
Rfam family: Bacterial small subunit ribosomal RNA
Source: RNAcentral